RNAcentral lists this transfer RNA (71 nucleotides) under Ictidomys tridecemlineatus (thirteen-lined ground squirrel). RNAcentral's name for it is "Spermophilus tridecemlineatus (thirteen-lined ground squirrel) tRNA". It matches the Rfam family "tRNA". From Rfam's summary of the family: Transfer RNA (tRNA) molecules are approximately 80 nucleotides in length. Their secondary structure includes four short double-helical elements and three loops (D, anti-codon, and T loops). Lineage: Eukaryota; Metazoa; Chordata; Mammalia; Rodentia; Sciuridae. The record is from Rfam by way of RNAcentral.
GCUGGGGUGGCUCAGUGGUAGAGCUCCUGCCUAGAAUGUAGUAGGCCUUGGGUUCGAUCCCCAACACUGCA